RNAcentral lists this ribosomal RNA (318 nucleotides) under uncultured bacterium. RNAcentral describes it as "bacterial SSU rRNA". It matches the Rfam family "Bacterial small subunit ribosomal RNA", at positions 28 to 334 of the family's 1533-position model. The record is from RNAcentral.
GACGAACGCUGGCGGCAUGCCUAACACAUGCAAGUCGAACGGAGAAUUCCUUCGGGAAUUCUUAGUGGCGAACGGGUGAGUAACGCGUAGGCAACCUGCCCUUUGGAUGGGGACAACAUUCCGAAAGGAGUGCUAAUACCGAAUGUGACGAUUUACCGCAUGGUUUAAUCGUGAAAGAUGGCCUCUACAUGUAAGCUAUCGCCAAAGGAUGGGCCUGCGUAGGAUUAGCUAGUUGGUGAGGUAAAAGCUCACCAAGGCGACGAUCCUUAGCUGGUCUGAGAGGAUGAUCAGCCACACUGGGACUGAGACACGGCCCAG